GCCCCCUUAGCUCAGCUGGUUAGAGCAAAGGACUCAUAAUCCUUGGGUCGUCAGUUCAAGUCUGACAGGGGGCACAA
Molecule: transfer RNA, 77 nt
Filed under: Spirochaetota bacterium
Lineage: Bacteria; Pseudomonadati; Spirochaetota
Description: Spirochaetes bacterium tRNA-Met
Rfam family: tRNA
About the family: Transfer RNA (tRNA) molecules are approximately 80 nucleotides in length.
Source: RNAcentral